ACACGAACCGUACUAACGUUAUUCGGAAUCACUGGGCUUAAAGGGUGCGUAGGCGGUCCUGCAAGUUGGGUGUGAAAGCCCUCGGCUUAACCGAGGAACUGCGCCCAAAACUGACGGACUAGAGGGAGACAGAGGUGAGCGGAACUUAGGGUGGAGCGGUGAAAUGCGUUGAUAUCAUAAGGAACACCAGUGGCGAAAGCGGCUCACUGGGUCUCUUCUGACGCUGAGGCACGAAAGCUAGGGGAGCGAACGGGAUUAGAAACCCCAGUAGCCC
RNAcentral lists this ribosomal RNA (274 nucleotides) under uncultured bacterium. Its description in RNAcentral is "partial 16S ribosomal RNA". It matches the Rfam family "Bacterial small subunit ribosomal RNA", at positions 523 to 796 of the family's 1533-position model. The record is from RNAcentral.